UCUUGUGACCUGCAUUUGUCUGGUGAUG
Molecule: non-coding RNA, 28 nt
Filed under: Mus musculus (house mouse)
Lineage: Eukaryota; Metazoa; Chordata; Mammalia; Rodentia; Muridae
Source: RNAcentral